RNAcentral lists this ribosomal RNA (566 nucleotides) under uncultured archaeon. RNAcentral describes it as "bacterial SSU rRNA". It matches the Rfam family "Archaeal small subunit ribosomal RNA", at positions 312 to 879 of the family's 1478-position model. The record is from RNAcentral.
CGCGAAUCGCCCUUCGGGGUGCCCAGGCGCGAAAACUUUACAAUGCUGGCAACAGCGAUAAGGGGACCUCGAGUGCCAGGAUACAAUCUUGGCUGUCGUGAUGCCUAAAAAGCAUUACAUAGCAAGGGCCGGGCAAGACCGGUGCCAGCCGCCGCGGUAACACCGGCGGCUCGAGUGGUAACCGCUAUUAUUGGGUCUAAAGGGUCUGUAGCCGGCCGGAUAAGUCUCUUGGGAAAUCCAGCAGCUCAACUGUUGGGCUUCCAGGGGAUACUGUUCGGCUCGAGGCCGGGAGAGGUGAGAGGUACUUCAGGGGUAGGGGUGAAAUCUUGUAAUCCUUGAAGGACCACCAGUGGCGAAGGCGUCUCACCAGAACGGUCCUGACGGCAAGGGACGAAAGCUAGGGGCACGAACCGGAUUAGAUACCCGGGUAGUCCUAGCCGUAAACGAUACUCGCUAGGUGUCAGCCACGGUGCGACCGUGGUUGGUGCCGUAGGGAAGCCGUGAAGCGAGCCACCUGGGAAGUACGGCCGCAAGGCUGAAACUUAAAGGAAUUGGCGGGGGAGCAC